RNAcentral lists this ribosomal RNA (464 nucleotides) under uncultured bacterium. RNAcentral's name for it is "partial 16S ribosomal RNA". It matches the Rfam family "Bacterial small subunit ribosomal RNA", at positions 28 to 506 of the family's 1533-position model. The record is from RNAcentral.
GAUGAACGCUGGCGGCGUGCUUAACACAUGCAAGUCGAACGGAAAGGCUCCUGCUUGCAGGGGUACUCGAGUGGCGAACGGGUGAGUAACACGUGGGUGAUCUGCCCUGCACUUCGGGAUAAGCCUGGGAAACUGGGUCUAAUACCGGAUAGGACGAUGGUUUGGAUGCCAUUGUGGAAAGUUUUUCGGUGUGGGAUGAGCUCGCGGCCUAUCAGCUUGUUGGUGGGGUAAUGGCCUACCAAGGCGUCGACGGGUAGCCGGCCUGAGAGGGUGUACGGCCACAUUGGGACUGAGAUACGGCCCAGACUCCUACGGGAGGCAGCAGUGGGGAAUAUUGCACAAGGGGCGCAAGCCUGAUGCAGCGACGCCGCGUGGGGGAUGACGGCCUUCGGGUUGUAAACUCCUUUCGCUAGGGACGAAGCGCAAGGGACGGUACCGGGAGAAGAAGCACCGGCUAACUACGU